This 735-nucleotide long non-coding RNA is filed under the name Rattus norvegicus (Norway rat). RNAcentral's name for it is "long non-coding RNA NONRATT007811". Lineage: Eukaryota; Metazoa; Chordata; Mammalia; Rodentia; Muridae. The record is from RNAcentral.
CCCACGGCAGCGUCCCCAGCUCCGAGCCCCGCGUCAGGGUCGCUUGCGCCCCUGCCUCCUGCACUGUGGCCAGGCUGGGCCCCCUGCUGCAGCUCGGGGGUCUUGUCGCGUCUGCUCACGGGGUACCCGCAGUGACGCCCGUGACCAGGGCGGCUACAGAUGCCUCCCCAGGGAUUGGUGUCAUUUGAGGACGUAGCCGUGGACUUCACUUGGCAGGAAUGGCAGGAGCUGGAUGCUGCCCAGAGGACCCUCUACAGGGAUGUGAUGCUGGAGAACUACAGCAGCCUGGUGUCCUUGGGGCACUGUGUAACCAAACCGGAGUUGAUCUUGAGGUUGGAGCAUGGAUUCCGGCCAUGGAGCAUCGGAGGAGACGCUUCUGUCUGGAGUCUCCCAGGUGUUCUUGAAGUGUAUACUCCAGAUGAGAGUUGCCUGGAAAAUCCAGAGAGUCAUAUGUGGCCAGUGGGAAGCAUCAGCAGAAAUCUUUCAAAUAAAGAGAUGAUUGAAAUUCCAGAAGAAAAUGUUGGAUUCCCUGGAACUAGAGUUAAUAGAUGGUUGUGGGUAAUAUGGACACUGAGAACUGAGCCUAGGUCUUCUGCAGAAACAGCAAGUACUCUUCACUACCGAGCCGAUGCUUCAGCCCAUGCCACUGGUGUUUUAGUUUGCAUUUACAUUGAUUUCUCUAAUUUCUAAACAUAUUGAGGGUAAUUUAUGAUAUUAAACACUUAUAUGCAAUGU